This 2848-nucleotide long non-coding RNA is filed under the name Citrus x clementina. RNAcentral's name for it is "Citrus clementina (C. clementina) long non-coding RNA (CCLE_LNC001131)". Lineage: Eukaryota; Viridiplantae; Streptophyta; Magnoliopsida; Sapindales; Rutaceae. The record is from RNAcentral.
AUAAAUAUUUGUUAAUUAUUUUUUAAUUACAUGUGUUACCUGGGUCUGUGUAUUGUUCCUUUGACCAAGUUAUUUAUGAAUUUUGACAGUUAUUAUGUUUAUGUAAAAAAUAUUAAGGAAUAUUUUAGUCUAAAAUCAUUAGAUGCAUGUUUUAGAAAAGAGCUAAAUUGAUGAGAAAAUUGAAAUUUUCAAGAAACAAUGUCCUAAAUAUUAUGAAUUUUAUAUGUUAUUAAUAUCUUUACAUUCGACUAAUUAUUAAUUUAUACUUUAAUUGAACCUAAAGGAUUUGAAAAAAAAUAUUAUCUUAUACAUUUAGCUAGAUUAUUAAUUUAGUACAUGUCUAACCUAAAUCAAGACCCAAAUAUUUUAUUAUUUGUUCAAGAUUAUUGAUUUAUGGAGCAUUCAUUUAUCAAAAUUUUACCGUAACCCAAAAAAAAAAAAGACGGCAUUGUCAAUGUGAUAAAUACAAAGAGUAUUUUCUUAUGGAGUGGGCUUCAUCCCUUGGUAUACCACUGGAUGGCAAUGCAAAUCACCAAGGAAUCGACUUACAUUACAUGGUUUGAAUUUCAUGCCCGUAAUUAUGAUUUCACAUAUUUGCUUCUCUGUACGCAAUUAUUAUUGCUGCAUCCACCAAUGGAAAUGCUCGUCAAUGGCUUGCAUUAUCGUAGGAAAUAGGUGUGUGUGUGUAUGUGUGUGUCUGUGUGCUCGUGUAUAUUCACACUUCUACACAAUAAAUGUGGAGGAAAGAAUUAGGAUUAACGGUUGAGAUGAUCUCUCUUAUAAGCUUUCAAAAUUUGUAUGCUCUGCAUUUAUUAGUGAUUAUGUAUGGUUUAGAUUUAAUUAAAUAUUUUUUUACAUGUUCUAUCUUAAUCACCCACUCAUAUUUUAUUUAGAAAAAAACUGAGAGAAAUCUGAUCCUCCGAGAAUACCAAAUCCGAUGGCAACAUUCAAGGUUUUGUAUUGAACCAUUGAUAUCUGGUAUUGAAGUUUUUGUUCCCCAAUUUCAUUUCAAGCCAAUGCUCCAAGCUAUAAAUAAUAUAUAUCCUUUUGCUUGUGGAUUUGAGCCACAGAUUGGAUCACUUACAGGCCCAAAAAGUCUUCUCCUAUGAAAGUUGCGAUGCUUAUAUGUUGUUUAUAGUAGUAUCACAGGCUUCCCUCCCUCGCUCCCUCCCUCUAUUUUUAAUACAAUUUCUUCUCUUCAAUUUGAAUUCAAUUAAUUGAGCUAAGCAGUAAAUAUUAAAGUGAAUUAAUGCGAACGGUGGUCUACAGUCUACUUUAUCUUUGGGGACUGGGGUUGCUUUUAUGAAUUCGCGACAAUUUAUAAAGAUUUCUUAUCACGUGCCGCUAGCAUGCAUCAAUUGGUAGAGUAGUAUUAGACAUCCAAAAUUUUUAUCUUAAAAAAUUAUCCUAAAUGAUUUAGUGUUCAUCAAUUGGUUGACGAGAAAAAAUAAUUAAUUCACUCGGAUCUUGUAAAAAAUUACUAACCACUCAAUUAAUGACAUAUCAUUUGGAAUUAAAUUUGAAAUGUCUAACAUUACUCAUAUUCGUAAGCAUUAAUUACCUUUAUUUAUUUUUAUCAAACAACACUUGCAUUCUAUAUCAUAAUAACAUUUCUACAAUUAUACAUUACAAAUAUAUACAACAUACAAACAAGCAUACAAACAAGCAAACUAAUAGUUUCGACAAACAUUAUUACAAUCUUAUAUACAAGAGAAAAAAAAUACAUUAUUGCAUUAAACGACAUCAAGAUUGACAAGACAUAAUUAAAAUAUAUAAUCAUAUGGUACAGACUCAAUACAAAGAUAACUACUCAUCAAUCAACUUAACUCUCAGAAGAACAUCAUGUAAUUUUCAGUAUAAAGUUUUAGCCACUAGGAACACCCCUAACCUGGGGACGUAAAUAUAUAUGUUAAGGCUGAAACAAAGAUUUUAUUUUGAGGAGGGAAGUCCUAAAUUUUAAGUCUACUAUAAUAUACAAUCAGUACAAUUGAGGGGUCAACAAUAAGGAUCAUAAUACAAAAACUAUAAACCAAGGGGGGUUGCAUAUAUAUAUUAAGGCUGAAACAAAGAUUUUAGUUUGAGGAGGGAAGUCCUAAAUUUAAGUCUACUAUAAUAUACAAUCACUACAAUUGAGGGGCCAACAAUAAGGAUCAUAGUACAAAAACUACAAACCAAGGGGGGCCUAGACGUAAACUAUACAUAGAAUUUGGUCAUGUUUUCAAUUUCAUCAUUAUAUAUUCUUAUUUUUUCAUUUUUGGAUGGGCCACCUCGUGCCUUUACUUUUUCCCGCCUCCGGGGUUAUAACCAUGUCUAUUCUUAUCACUUGGAGGGUACCCAGAUGUCAAAAUAUUCUCGGCAGACUCCGCCAGUACUCGGCUAAACUGCUGCGCAUUGUAGGCUGCGGCAUUUAAAGUCCUUCCGUUUGCAGCCAUGCAAGAGCUCACAAUCAUGAGAGCCAGAGCAAACCCUAGAAUCCUCGUUCUUCCACUCGUUUGAUCCAUCGUCACUGCUACAUAAUUUGAACAAAAUUCAAGUUUAAUGCAUGCAUGUGAGAAAAAAUUAACAGAUAUUUAGACCACAAGAAAAGAAUGAUACAAGUAGAAUUUUUAUUCUUUAUUAUUUAAUUAUAUUUUAAAAGGUAAAACGGGUGAGUAAAAUUUAAAUGAAUUUUUUAACUCUUUUUGAACUAGAAUAUAUAGCUAGGUAAAUGAAAUUACUUGAAACUACUCAAUGGAUACUUGAUGAUUUUUUAACUACUUACCCAAAUAGAGAUCAAGAGAAACGCGUUUGAUAAUGACGAUUUCGCAUGGAGGGAAGAAGAAUUAUAAAGUCUUUAUAUAGACGUGUU